Long non-coding RNA from Drosophila albomicans, 777 nucleotides. RefSeq lists it as uncharacterized. The record is from RefSeq and is a predicted model, not a curated record. NCBI's taxonomy places the organism in Eukaryota, Metazoa, Arthropoda, Insecta, Diptera, Drosophilidae. The transcript has 3 exons.
UUAGUUUGUUGGCUGACAUUUUUCAAUUUGCAAUAAAUAAGACAAAAACAAUAACAAAAAGGACCGCAGCGCGAUCUCGAUAACUCAGUCAUAUAUUUUGGCCCUUUACAAUUGUCGAAACAAACGAAAGAAGAGAGAGCUAGAGUGAGAUAGAAAUAGAAGUCUAGCAGCAGACACAUAAAUAACGACAAAAGAAACCGUCUGCUGCACACACACACAUACAGUUACAUCCCCCCACGCAGCAGCCGUCACAACAAAUCGAUGUUUGUCUCAAGGUGAAAAAUCUACCGCAUAACUUGCGUGACUGCGACGUCAAAAAGGUUGCCAUAUCAACAAGCCUUGCAAAGGGACCUUCACGUGUCAAGAGGCUAAAAUCGUAGGAGUGUGAGGGGGAGAAACAUACAUACAUUGUUGACGUCGCUGUUGGCGUGCAGCUUAAGCGCCGACAUUUUGGAAAGUUUUAGCAAAGUGACUGCAGUCAAAGUGCGAGAAGGAGUGCGGCAAAGUGUGUGUGUGUGUGUGUAUGUGUGUAAGUGUAAAGAGCGGCAAUUUGUCAACAUGUGUGAUAAGGCACAAGGUAUUUGUUGCUGUUGUUUCUGUUGCUCUUAUGCUAAUGUAAUUGGAGUUGCGUGCUCAUUGAGGUGUUGAGCUGUUAAUGGUCUACUCUACCAAUAUACACACACUGCCUGCCCGGCUAUUGCAAUCCAAUUAGUACCUAGACGCAGUGCCAUUCAAACUGUAAAAGGUUCUUCUUGUUUGUUGUUUAUCACUUACCUU